Dipodomys spectabilis (banner-tailed kangaroo rat) is the source of this 488-nucleotide long non-coding RNA. RefSeq lists it as uncharacterized. The record is from RefSeq and is a predicted model, not a curated record. The transcript has 3 exons. NCBI's taxonomy places the organism in Eukaryota, Metazoa, Chordata, Mammalia, Rodentia, Heteromyidae.
GCGGAGCUGAGCGGACCUUGAGGCGCCUGCGGAGGACGAGUGGAGCUGAGCGAGGACGAGCGGCCUCCGGCCAGAGCUGGGCGGGUGCACUGUCAGGUGCCGGUGGCUUUUCUCAGGAGGAAGCGCCUGGAGGACGCGGGCUCUGGGCGGUCAGCUUGUCUGUGGAGAAGGCAGGACGCGGGCCCUGAGCGGACCAUGAGGCGACUGCGGAGGAUGAGCUGAACUAAGCAGAGGACGAGCGGUCUCCGGCCAGGCAUUUUAAGAAGAAAACAUGCAGAGUCUCAGGAUAAAAUGGGGAGAGCCUGGAAGCUUGGAAUCGCGAAUAUAGGUUCAUGGUGUAUAGACCAAUGUGGGAUGGUCUGGACGGAUCGGAUCCCAUCAGCACUUGCUCUUGCCGCUGGCAUUUCUCCAAGUCUGCAUCAAGUUUUCAUCUAUACUUUCAUGUCUACACUUGGGCCUGGAGAAGGAGGUGAAGCCUCUCCCUUCCU